UUAAAAUGGGUAAGAAAGGGUUAAAAAGGGGUUAAAUUUGAAAUUGAGGUUCCUGGUUUAUACUGUUUCAUACUGGUCCAUACUGGUUUAUACUGGUUUAUACUGGGAGGGGAGAAAGGGUGAAAAAAGGACAAAAAAUGGGUUAAAAUAUGUCCAAAAUUGGCUAAAAAUUGGUUUAAAAAGGGGUUAAAUUUGGAAUUAGGGUUACUGGCUCAUACUGGUUUAUACUGGUUUAUACUGGUUUAUACUGGUUUAUACUGGGAGGGGGAAAUAGGGAAAAAAAGGCGAAAAAUGGGUUAAAAUAUGUCCAAAAAUCGUUAAAAAGGUGGUUAAAAAGGGGUUAAAUGUGUAUUUAGACUCCAUACUGGUUCAUAGUGGUUUAUACUGGUUAACCCCGCAGGUCGCUGGGGGCGGGGCAGACGCUCCGGCUCAGCCAAUCAGUGACGCCGCUGCGCGCAGGGCAGCGCCGCCUGGCGGCCACGCUGGAGAGCGCAGCGCUGCCGCCGCUGACCGGCAGCGUCCAGUUCGACGUGGCCGCGGGGGAAACUGGGGAAACUGGGAAUACUGGGAAUACUGGGAAUACUGGGAGGAGGAGGAGGAGGAGGAGGGGGAGGCCGGGAGGCAGCACGGGGGGGUGAGCUGGUUUGUACUGGGAGCACUGGUUUGUACUGGGAGCACUGGUUUGUACUGGGAGGGGGUUUGGGUCGUACUGGGAGCACUGGUUUGUACUGGGAGCCAUUUCGGGUCAUACUGGUUUUUACUGGGAGGGGUUUUGGGUCAUACUGGGAGCACUGGGAGCCAUACUGGUUUGUACUGGGAGCACUGGGAGCCAUACUGGGUCAUACUGGGAGCCAUACUGGUCCAUACUGGGAGCACUGGGAGCCAUUUCGGGUCAUACUGGGAGCACUGGGAGCCAUACUGGGAAUACUGGGAGCC
This 936-nucleotide long non-coding RNA is filed under the name Junco hyemalis (dark-eyed junco). RNAcentral's name for it is "lncRNA (ENSJHYG00000002703.1)". Lineage: Eukaryota; Metazoa; Chordata; Aves; Passeriformes; Passerellidae. The record is from RNAcentral.